This 253-nucleotide ribosomal RNA is filed under the name uncultured bacterium. RNAcentral describes it as "partial 16S ribosomal RNA". It matches the Rfam family "Bacterial small subunit ribosomal RNA", at positions 524 to 776 of the family's 1533-position model. The record is from RNAcentral.
GACGGAGGGUGCAAGCGUUGUUCGGAAUUACUGGGCGUAAAGCGCGUGUAGGCGGUCCGAUAAGUCGAGUGUGAAAGCCCGAGGCCCAACCUCGGAAGUGCAUUCGAAACUGUCGGGCUUGAGUACGGGAGAGGGAAGUGGAAUUCCUGGUGUAGAGGUGAAAUUCGUAGAUAUCAGGAGGAACACCGGUGGCGAAGGCGGCUUCCUGGACCGAUACUGACGCUGAGACGCGAAAGCGUGGGGAGCAAACAGG